Long non-coding RNA from Sinocyclocheilus rhinocerous, 191 nucleotides. The record is from Ensembl. Lineage: Eukaryota; Metazoa; Chordata; Actinopteri; Cypriniformes; Cyprinidae.
UUUACUUAGUAUCAGCCAUUCUGAAGCGCUCUUCCAAAACUUAGCGAGACGCCUACUUAGACAUCAUUCAUCCGGUGCGUUCCCUGUUCCACAAGCAUAUGGGUAUGGAACGACAUGAGGUGGUUUUAAUACUCUUCAUCCCUCCCCCUCCACUUCCCCAUCUUCCAUUUUUCUUCUCUCUCCUGCUGUAA